UGACUGGAGAGGUUCCUAUAAGGUGUCAGGAUGUCGCUGUCUAUUUCUCCAUGGAGGAGUGGGAGUAUUUAGAAGGACACAAGGGUCUGUACAAGGAGGUCAAGAUGGAGGAGGACCAGCCCCUCACAUCUCCAGAGAGAUCCAGUCAGAGGACAACACCAGAGAGAUGUCCGCGUCCUCUUCUUCCACAGGACGGUCAGGUAAUGGAGAU
Long non-coding RNA from Bufo bufo (common toad), 211 nucleotides. RefSeq lists it as uncharacterized. The record is from RefSeq and is a predicted model, not a curated record. Lineage: Eukaryota; Metazoa; Chordata; Amphibia; Anura; Bufonidae. The transcript is spliced from 3 exons.